This 257-nucleotide small RNA is filed under the name Pan paniscus (pygmy chimpanzee). RNAcentral describes it as "Metazoan signal recognition particle RNA (ENSPPAG00000010444.1)". Lineage: Eukaryota; Metazoa; Chordata; Mammalia; Primates; Hominidae. The record is from RNAcentral.
GCUGGGUGUGGUGACGCUCACCUGUAAUCCCAGCUGCUCAGGAGGCUGAGGCAGGAGAAUCACUUGGAGCAGGGAGGUGGAGGUUGCAGUGAGCUGAGAUGGCACCAGUGCACUCCAGCCUGGGGACAGACUGAGUCUCAAAAAAAAAAAAAAUGUUUCAGAGCAAAAUCUUGCUGUCACCCAGGCUGGAGUGUAGUGGUGCCAUCACAGCUCACUGUAGCCUUGAACUCCUGGGCUCAAGGGAUCCACCUGCCUCA